RNAcentral lists this ribosomal RNA (423 nucleotides) under uncultured bacterium. RNAcentral describes it as "bacterial SSU rRNA". It matches the Rfam family "Bacterial small subunit ribosomal RNA", at positions 207 to 622 of the family's 1533-position model. The record is from RNAcentral.
AAGACCUUGCGCUUUUGGAGCGGCCGAUGCCUGAUUAGCUAGUUGGUGGGGUAAUGGCCUACCAAAGCUUCGAUCAGUAGCUGGUCUGAGAGGACGGCCAGCCACACUGGGACUGAGACACGGCCCAGACUCCUACGGGAGGCAGCAGUGGGGAAUUUUGGACAAUGGGCGCAAGCCUGAUCCAGCCAUGCCGCGUGAGUGAAGAAGGCCUUCGGGUUGUAAAGCUCUUUCAGCCGGGAAGAAAAGGUUGCGAUUAAUAAUCGCAAUUUAUGACGGUACCGGAAGAAGAAGCACCGGCUAACUACGUGCCAGCAGCCGCGGUAAUAUGUAGGGUGCGAGCGUUAAUCGGAAUUACUGGGCGUAAAGGGUGCGCAGGCGGUUUUGUAAGUCAGAUGUGAAAUCCCCGGGCUUAACCUGGGAACU